GACGAACGCUGGCGGCGUGCUUAACACAUGCAAGUCGAACGGAAAGGCCCUGCUUGUGUGGGGUGCUCGAGUGGCGAACGGGUGAGUAACACGUGAGUAACCUGCUCUUGACUUUGGGAUAACUUCAGGAAACUGGGGCUAAUACCGGAUAGGAUCUCCUGCUGCAUGGUGGGGGGUGGAAAGUUUCGGCGGUUGGGGAUGGACUCGCGGCUUAUCAGCUUGUUGGUGGGGUAGUGGCUUACCAAGGCUUUGACGGGUAGCCGGCCUGAGAGGGUGACCGGCCACAUUGGGGCUGAGAUACGGCCCAGACUCCUACGGGAGGCAGCAGUGGCGAAUAUUGCACAAUGGGCGGAAGCCUGAUGCAGAAACGCCGCGUGCGGGAUGACGGCCUUCGGGUUGUAAACCGCUUUCGCCUGUGACGAAGCGUGAGUGACGGUAAUGGGUAAAGAAGCACCGGCUAACUACGUG
This 468-nucleotide ribosomal RNA is filed under the name uncultured bacterium. Its description in RNAcentral is "partial 16S ribosomal RNA". It matches the Rfam family "Bacterial small subunit ribosomal RNA", at positions 28 to 507 of the family's 1533-position model. The record is from RNAcentral.